GGGCCCAUAGUCUAGUGGUUAUGAUGCCUGCUUGACAUGCAGGAGAUCACCGGUUCGAAUCCGGUUGGGCCCA
Molecule: transfer RNA, 73 nt
Filed under: Thermoplasmata archaeon
Lineage: Archaea; Methanobacteriati; Thermoplasmatota; Thermoplasmata
Also listed under: 1 other name
Description: tRNA-Val
Rfam family: tRNA
About the family: Transfer RNA (tRNA) molecules are approximately 80 nucleotides in length. Their secondary structure includes four short double-helical elements and three loops (D, anti-codon, and T loops). Further hydrogen bonds mediate the characteristic L-shaped molecular structure. tRNAs have two regions of fundamental functional importance: the anti-codon, which is responsible for specific mRNA codon recognition, and the 3' end, to which the tRNAs corresponding amino acid is attached (by aminoacyl-tRNA synthetases). tRNAs cope with the degeneracy of the genetic code in two manners: having more than one tRNA (with a specific anti-codon) for a particular amino acid; and 'wobble' base-pairing, i.e. permitting non-standard base-pairing at the 3rd anti-codon position.
Source: RNAcentral